RNAcentral lists this ribosomal RNA (692 nucleotides) under uncultured Candidatus Saccharibacteria bacterium. RNAcentral describes it as "bacterial SSU rRNA". It matches the Rfam family "Bacterial small subunit ribosomal RNA", at positions 571 to 1273 of the family's 1533-position model. The record is from RNAcentral. Lineage: Bacteria; Candidatus Saccharimonadota.
GUAGGCGGUUUAAUAAGUGAAUAGUGAAACCUGGUGGCUCAACCAUACAGACUAUUAUUCAAACUGUUAAACCCGAGAAUGGUAGAGGUAACNUGGAAUUUCUAGUGUAGGAGUGAAAUCCGUAGAUAUUAGAAGGAACACCGAUGGCGUAGGCAGGUUACUGGGCCAUUUCUGACGCUAAGGCACGAAAGCGUGGGGAGCGAACCGGAUUAGAUACCCGGGUAGUCCACGCCGUAAACGAUGGAUACUAGCUGUUGGAGGUAUCGACCCCUUCAGUAGCGAAGCUAACGCGUUAAGUAUCCCGCCUGUGGAGUACGGCCGCAAGGCUAAAACAUAAAGGAAUUGACGGGGACCCGCACAAGCGGUGGAUUAUGUUCUUUAAUUCGAUGAUAACCGAAGAACCUUACCAGGGCUUGACAUCCAGGGAAGGUCUGCGAAAGUAGACUGUGCCUUUUGGAACCCUGUGACAGGUGAUGCAUGGCCGUCGUCAGCUCGUGUCGUGAGAUGUUAGGUUAAGUCCUUCAACGAGCGCAACCCUUGUGAAUAGUUGUAUUUUUCUAUUCAGACUGCCCCGGUAACGGGGAGGAAGGANGGGGAUGAUGUCAGGUCAGUAUUUCCCUUACGUCCUGGGCUAGAAACGUAAUACAAUGGCUAGUACAAUGCGCANCGAAGCCNNCGAGGUGAAGCAAAUC